ACGGAAGGCAGCAGUGGGGAAUAUUGCACAAUGGGGGAAACCCUGAUGCAGCAACGCCGCGUGAAGGAAGACGGUCUUCGGAUUGUAAACUUCUGUUCUUAGUGAAGAUAAUGACGGUAGCUAAGGAGCAAGCCACGGCUAACUACGUGCCAGCAGCCGCGGUAAUACGUAGGUGGCAAGCGUUAUCCGGAUUUACUGGGUGUAAAGGGCGCGUAGGCGGGGAAGCAAGUCAGAUGUGAAAUCCAUGGGCUCAACCCAUGAACUGCAUUUGAAACUGUUUCUCUUGAGUGCUGGAGAGGUAGAUGGAAUUCCUAGUGUAGCGGUGAAAUGCGUAGAUAUUAGGAAGAACACCAGUGGCGAAGGCGAUCUACUGGACAGUAACUGACGCUGAGGCGCGAAAGCGUGGGGAGCAAACAGGAUUAGAUACCCUGGUA
Molecule: ribosomal RNA, 434 nt
Filed under: uncultured Clostridium sp.
Lineage: Bacteria; Bacillati; Bacillota; Clostridia; Eubacteriales; Clostridiaceae
Description: partial 16S ribosomal RNA
Rfam family: Bacterial small subunit ribosomal RNA
Source: RNAcentral